CGAUCUUUUCUGUCGUGAUCAGAAGACACCUCUGAUCACCAAAAGAUCUAAACCUGCCCAACGAAGCAUAUUUAGUAUCAUGGUACAAGCAAUUCGCGAGCUCACCUUAUCCUGAACGCCCGGAACUAGCAAGAACUUGUUCAGUAGCUCUAUAAGUUUGUGCGCUUUCUGCACGGAGCAUCUCUUCACUGAUGAGAAUUCUCUCUCUGACAGUUUUCGAAGCUGGAAGCAGGUUCAUAAAAAGGUCCAGGAACUUCGAUUUCCGAGCUACGGUCUGAAGAUCAAUGCACAUAUCCCGUGAAGGAUUAGCUUACAUACCCAGCUACUAUCGUCAAAACAUUUGAGCGGUAAGAGAAACUUUGCAAGCCUUUCGCCUCCAUCGUCUGCAAGCGGUUCGCAGAAAACCACGAACUGUAA
RNAcentral lists this long non-coding RNA (417 nucleotides) under Selaginella moellendorffii. RNAcentral's name for it is "long non-coding RNA (SMOE_LNC000180)". The record is from RNAcentral. Lineage: Eukaryota; Viridiplantae; Streptophyta; Lycopodiopsida; Selaginellales; Selaginellaceae.